UUCGUUAUUUUCACUCAGAUUCUAACUAAUCCUACACUCACUCAUCAAUCAUCAUUCAUAUCCCACUAUGGGGAUGCAAUAAAAUACAAAAAAAGUAAACCGACAAAGAUAGAAAUGAUCAGAGCAGAUUAGAGAAGUUAGUAUAUAAAAGACACAGUGAACAGACAUCCAAGUAGAGUUUUCAAUUUGUGUAAGAAAUUUACGGUUGUUUUAAAAGCCAUCACCAAGUAGCAAUUCUCCUGUAGAGGCACUUCUAGCAGCCCAGUAAUCCCUGAUGGGCUCUUGCGUUCGAGCUUUCAUGCAAUGCUUUUUUGCAGGCAUGUCCAAACACUGCACUGCACCGCGUGCUUCAUAUAUCCACCGCCACCGCGUGUAUUGAGAAUGCCACUGCAUCAGGAAUCAGGAAUCAGAACAAAUUGGCUCAAAUGGCACGUUCCCCUUGAUAUUUGGAGAUUUGUGCCUUGCCAUCAAUUUGUUUUUAGCAUCAUUUUCCCGAUAUAUAAGAGGGAAGGAUUGAAAGGAAAUGGUAAGGGUUGAACUAGGAGGAUGGGAAAAAUUGACGACACAAAAACACAUAAAAGCAGAAGUAAAUUCUGCACCCCUAAGGGAUGCUGAACAAUCUGCUGAGGAUCACAUUUAGUGGAAGCAGAAGGAAAUUCUGAACCUCUACGAGGUCCCGAACAGUCUGCUGUUAAUAAAACCUCCAACCCCCGAGAGGAUUUAGAGAUCUUACAAAAGCGACACCAUUCUGCACUCCCGGAAGAAUGCAGAACGACUCGCAGUAUGUACGAGCAGAAGUAAAUGCGGUACCCCCCAGAGGAUGCCAAACAAUCUGCCAAACCCUAUUUAAGGUGAAUACAGAAGGGAUUCAUUCACUCCAGGAAGAACGAUGAACCCUUCUGACUAUAGCUCCUUACCACAUUGGGUGAGAAACGAGAGAAUAUCCUUCAAUUUUAGCUCCGCAUACACAGACUCAACCAUGUAUGGAGAACCAAAAACCCGGAUACGUAGCUGCGUCAAUGCGGGACAGUUACAUAUCAGAUGAUAUGAAGUACCAUAAUCGCAUUCACACAAAUCACACGAAUAAUACUCAGCACGUUGAAUAGUAGCCAUGUGAUAAUUGAGUUUGCAAUGUCCAGUCAGAGCUCUGACCAGAAUACUUCAAUGAUACUUGGAGAAAUGCAGUAGACACUUUGACAUUUUCAGAUUUAAAUCUGGUAGAAAUGCUUUUGUCUGAGCGCAAGUUUGCAAGCUGCGCCAGUAGCUGGCAUGUUUGGAUGCAGCCCAAGAACGUAUCUUGUGCUUUAUCCAACUAGUUGAAAGUGGUAAAGCUGGUUCAGGACCAACGAAAUCAUUCGUUGCACCAGCUCUAGCCAACUCAUCAGCCCAUUCAUUUCCAGUAAUACCAGAAUGGCCGGGUACCCAUAUGAAGUAAACAGCAUUUGAAAUGCUGAGGUCUUCAAUUUGAGUUCGACAUGCGAUCACUAGAUUCGACCGUGAGUCAUUCGAACUGAGUGCUUUUAAGGCUGCCUGACUGUCGGAACAAAAAUAAAUACGUUUACCACAGAUCCUCUGCUGAAGUGCCGAUUGUACUCCACACAGAAUUGCGUAGAUUUCUGCUUGGAACACAGUACAGUAUCUACCAAGUGAAUGAGACUGCUCCAGCCUAUUUCACGACAGUAGAUACCAGCACCAGCACGACCAUUCAACAGAGAACCGUCCGUAAAACAAACUAUGUGUUCAUCAAGUUGUCGUUCCAGACAACCAGACAAUCAUUCCUAACGAAGAGGAUAGCUCACUUUGAAUGUUUUAAAAGGAAAACUGCAUGUGAGAGUUAGGUCACUAGGAGCGAGUAAAUACUCAUCCCACGGAACCAUUUGAGACCACAAGCGAGUGUGACUGGUAGCAUAUUCUAAUGGGUUACUGUUCCAAAGCCCUGUAACCCUAAGACGGUAUGCACAAGAUAAUGCUUCUUGUUUUAGGAACACAUAUAGUGGUUUAAUGCACAGUAGCGCCUCUAGAGCAGCAGUAGGAGUUGUCGUGAAUGCUCCUGUCAUCGCCAUUAGGACCAUCCUUUGGAGAUGAUUUAGCUUUGACUGAACUGUCGCGACUUCUCCUUUCUGCCACCAUACAAGACAUCCAUAUGCUAAAAUUGGUCUAACGAUAGUUGUGUAGAUCCAAUGAAUAUAUCUGGGUUUGAGUCCCCAUGAUUUUCCAAAAGCUCGUCUGCAUUGGCCGAAAGCCAUGCAAGCUCUUUUAAUCCUGAAAUCAAUGUGAGCAGACCAAUUCAGUUUUGAGUCAAGAAUAACCCCGACGUAUUUAACUUGAUCGACCACAGUGACCCCUGAAGCAAAGAACUGCAACGGACGAGCUCCUGUAAUUAUCCUACGAUGAGUGAAAAGCACCAUUGAUGUUUUGCCCGGAUUUACAGAUAAUCCAAACCUGACAACACCAUUGUUCAACAGAUCGCAGGGCUUGCUGCAUUAAAUCAAAGAGAGUGUUAAUGCUUAUACCGGUCAUCAAUAUAUGAUAAUCGUCGGCAAAACCAUAAGUCGGAAAUCCAAGGUUAUUAAGUUUCCUUAACAAACUAUCAGCGACUAGGUUCCAUAAAAGUGGGGAUAGUACACCACCUUGAGGACACCCACAGACACUCAGCUUUCUAAUCUCUGGCCCGCCGAAGCGAUGAUCAAAGAAGUUGAUUGCUAAGCAUUGCGUGUAUCCAGUAAGGGAAAAACCCAAGAUAUUCCGUUCACGACUGCAAUGUUUAACCUCCUGCAGCCAUUCAGCCAUCGGCACGGAAAUACACCUUGACUUAGGAGUUCCUAUUUUUGUGGCCUUUUACGACAUGGAAUAGGAAACCAGUGGAUCAAUUCUUGGUAAAAAAUAAUUCCGCCGGAUGCCACACGGCUUACCUGUUUGGUGGACUUAUACCACCGGUACAGGUGGACCGUAGCGUUAUUCUUAGCAGUUGGGAAACCGCUACCGACACUACACGGCUAUCUAGGCUGCUCAGAGAGGGAAGUUAACAUUGAUGGUCAACUUCCAUGGAUGGCCGAGCAGCCGUGAAUGUCCAUGUCCAAACACUGCACUGCACCGCGUGCUUCAUAUAUCCACCGCCACCGCGUGUAUUGAGAAUGCCACUGCAUGCCAGUGCACAAAGAGUAACACGAAACGCAAUGACCGAAGCCACGGUGCUGGUGUGGGUGUUUCAUUUUCGGUGCUGGUGUUUCAAGCUUCGGCAUACACCGAAACCGCGUGUUUUCAGUUUCGUUAAACACCGGAGCCGAGUGUUUUGAAUUUCGCGAAGGCACCGAAAAGCACCCAUGCGUUGGGUAUAUUGUCAAUAAAACACAGAAGCGGUUGGUAGGAUGACAAACAAACUAUACGAUACAGACGCAUGA
Malaya genurostris is the source of this 3401-nucleotide long non-coding RNA. RefSeq lists it as uncharacterized. The record is from RefSeq and is a predicted model, not a curated record. The transcript is spliced from 3 exons. Lineage: Eukaryota; Metazoa; Arthropoda; Insecta; Diptera; Culicidae.